Molecule: long non-coding RNA, 971 nt
Filed under: Brassica napus (rape)
Lineage: Eukaryota; Viridiplantae; Streptophyta; Magnoliopsida; Brassicales; Brassicaceae
Description: long non-coding RNA (BNAP_LNC006738)
Source: RNAcentral
CCCUAUUUAUUUCCACAGCACCAAAUUCAGAGCAAUCAAGCUUUAAAUUUUUUUUUUGAAACCACAGCUCUUAAAAUAUCCUACAGCUGUACAAGUGCUCUGCAGAGCCAAAUAUCCAAAGCAAUUUUUUAGUGCUUCAAUAAAAUUCUACAGCAAUAAAAUCUAAAGCCACAGCAAAAAGUCUACAGAUUUUUUUCUACAGCAAAAUAUUUAAAGCUACAGCCAUUACCAAUCGGACCCAUAGUUUAGAAAUCUCAACAAUAGAUAAAAAUAACUUUUUUAUUAUCUUAAGAAAAAAUAAAAGAAAAACCUUAACUCACAAUCUUUAAAUCUCCAAAUAUAGGUUAUGUACUUGACAUUUUCUUAUAUAGAGAUUAAUAUUUUCUAAUCCUAUUAGGUAAUAUAUCUAGAUAAGUCCUAAACAUAUUAUGAAUCAUAAUUUUCAUAACUCGUUAGGAUUAAGUCAUUGACUUAUUUUUUAAGUUUACUUUUCUUUCGAGCUUAAUCCAACAUUCUCCCCCUUAAACUUGAAAUCCAUUUUCGACAAAUCUUCGAUAUGAACGAGACCUCUCAUCUCUUUGAACUUCAUUCUCCAAAGUGCUUUUGUCAAAGUGUCGACUUUCUAUUCACUCUCGGUAUAUGAUGUAGCUCGAUCAAAUCAUACUCAACAUGCUCUCGUAUGAGGUGAUAUAAAAUCUGCUUCACGGCUUCAGUCUAUGCCAUGUUCUCAGCUUCACAUAACGAUUACUCAACAGUUUAUUGUUUGCUCGAACACCGCAACAUCAACAUAAAAGAUAUUUCCUGCCACGCUCUUGCCAUCAACCGGGUCAACUUUAUGACCACUUUCUCCAACAAUCAUUUUCUCUGAAACUACAUGCAUCUUUAUUGCAGUUCCAUGAGAUUCUUUGGAUCUUUUCAUAUCUCGACUUAACACCUUACGUAUAUCAAACUUUGUUGCAAUCUCGAAAAUC